UGGCGGCGUGCCUAAUACAUGCAAGUCGAACGGUCUUUCUAUGGAAGCUUGCUUCCACUGAGAAGAUAGUGGCGAACGGGUGAGUAACACGUGGGUAACCUGCCCAUAAGAGGGGGAUAACAUCCGGAAACGGGUGCUAAUACCGCAUAGUUUUCUUGAUCGCAUGAUCGGGAAGGGAAAGACGGCCUUUGUGCUGUCGCUUAUGGAUGGACCCGCGGCGUAUUAGUUAGUUGGUGAGGUAACGGCUCACCAAGACGAUGAUACGUAGCCGACCUGAGAGGGUGAUCGGCCACAUUGGGACUGAGACACGGCCUAAACUCCUACGGGAGGCAGCAGUAGGGAAUCUUCCGCAAUGGACGAAAGUCUGACGGAGCAACGCCGCGUGAGUGAAGAAGGUUUUUUCGGAUCGUAAAACUCUGUUGUCAGAGAAGAACAAGUUGGAGAGUAACUGCUCCAGCCUUGACGGUAUCUGACCAGAAAGCCACGGCUAACUACGUGCCAGCCGCAGC
RNAcentral lists this ribosomal RNA (509 nucleotides) under uncultured bacterium. RNAcentral describes it as "bacterial SSU rRNA". It matches the Rfam family "Bacterial small subunit ribosomal RNA", at positions 37 to 518 of the family's 1533-position model. The record is from RNAcentral.